Long non-coding RNA from Acanthopagrus latus (yellowfin seabream), 992 nucleotides. RefSeq lists it as uncharacterized. Lineage: Eukaryota; Metazoa; Chordata; Actinopteri; Spariformes; Sparidae. The record is from RefSeq and is a predicted model, not a curated record. The transcript has 2 exons.
CGUUAAUGAGGUCGAACUGCUGCUGCCACUCACACUCAACUACAAGGCGACUGUGUGGCAGUUUUUCCUCCCCCCGAUGCUUCACUCUGCCCUGCGAUCCCAGGCUCCUCGCACCAUCCGUCACCUCCUGCUAGUCCUCUCCGUCUUUUCCGCUCAGCUGGCACGAACACCAGACACUGCACAGAGGCCUCAGCACAAGCGUCCCGUCUUGGCAACCCCAGCCCCUUCGACAAGAAUGCAUCUAUUCUGCGGCUCCACUCUGCGUGGAGUGGAUGAGUAAGAGCGGCCUGUAGAAACAGCUGUUCAGGGAGUGAUCAAAAGAAAGGGAGAGACUUCUUUGAUUACCAGCUCUUUGUUCACCCUCCACUCAAACUUUCGUGUUCAGGAAGGCCUCUCUCUGAGUGGGCUGCUGGCCAAGGGAAUGCACGGGGUAGUAAUGAUAUGCUUAUUGGAGCGAGACUACACUUGCAUCUAUGUCUAUCUUUAAGCCAUUUAAUCAAUUUGAACUAUAACAUCUGCAAACGUCUCAGUGCUCAUGAUACCCUGAUAUCCCAGCAUUCAUCUUGACCCCCUCACCUCUUUGUAACCGUCUCUUUGGGUGCUUAUCACCGCAGAAUGAAUGCGUAGCCUUGGUUACGGCCAGACUCUCCUUGAGUUUGCCGGGGUUGAGAUGCCCUCUCCCAGGAUUCUGGCAGGAAGCUCCACCCUGAUCCAAGCAUGUUUGUUUUGGCUCAGGCAAAAAAAAAAAAAAGAAAGGGAAAAAAAAACAAAACGCACGGAGUGAGAUGAAACAGCUCAGCUAUCUGCUGAUUAUCUCUACCAAAUCUGCAGCCUGGAGGACACCAGUUUUCAUCUUGGCACCAGCAAAUGCAUUUCUUUUUUUUUUUGUUGAUGGCUGCAGCAAUUUAGCCUCAUACGAGUCCUUUUCACAGUGUUCAAGGUCAAGAGCAGUGCACUUUUUGUUUAGGUGUUUAUCAUAAACCAAACUCAAA